UUACUCUCACAGGAGGCACUUGAACCCUUUGACUUCCUGCCCGCUCAUGAGGUCACUGGUCUCAGUGGGAGUGUCUGUGAAAUGCAUGCUCAAUAACAGCCGACUGAAGGCAAGAGAGACCAGAAGGAGGAACAGGACGUGCUGUGAAGGGAGAGGAGUGAAUGACAGCAUGACAAUGUUCCCAAACACAAUGCCAGUGGAGUAAAAGCAUACCCGGAGAGCAAAACACACA
Oreochromis niloticus (Nile tilapia) is the source of this 232-nucleotide long non-coding RNA. RefSeq lists it as uncharacterized. The record is from RefSeq and is a predicted model, not a curated record. NCBI's taxonomy places the organism in Eukaryota, Metazoa, Chordata, Actinopteri, Cichliformes, Cichlidae. The transcript is spliced from 2 exons.